Rosa chinensis is the source of this 485-nucleotide long non-coding RNA. RefSeq lists it as uncharacterized. The record is from RefSeq and is a predicted model, not a curated record. The transcript has 2 exons. Lineage: Eukaryota; Viridiplantae; Streptophyta; Magnoliopsida; Rosales; Rosaceae.
UAGGGCUGAAACAACAAUCCCUUGUAAACCUGUGAACCUGAUUACCAAGAAAUGGAAGAAAUCCAAGCUGAAAACUAAGAAGAGUCCUAUGGCUGUAGUUACCAAAACUCCUGCACCUACUGCACAUAAGGCCAACAAGACCUAUCAGGCCAAGUGCUUCUUCUGUAGGAAACCAGGACACUUCAAGAAAGACUGUCAGGGUUUCAAGGAUUGGCUAACAAAACGAGGGGUUAACAAACAGGAGAGCACCAAGGCGUGAGGAGCUUCAGCUUUGUGUAGGAAAUGGGAUGCGGGUUGCUGUCAAGGCUGUAGGAACUCUUAGUUUGGAUUUAGGCCUAGGAAAUUUUCUGGAAUUAGACAAUGUCUUUUAUGUACCUUCCUUAAGAAGGAAUUUGUUAAGUUUGUCAUUAUUGACAAAACUUGGUUGCUGUUUUUAUAUAGAUAGUUUUGGAAUAAAAGUAUCCCGAAAUUCCCUACCAUUUGCA